GACGAACGCUGGCGGCGUGCUUAACACAUGCAAGUCGAACGGAAAGGCCCUGCUUGCAGGGUCCUCGAGUGGCGAACGGGUGAGUAACACGUGGGUGAUCUGCCCUGCACUUCGGGAUAAGCCUGGGAAACUGGGUCUAAUACCGGAUAGGAGCCAUUUUUAGUGUGAUGGUUGGAAAGUUUUUUCGGUGUAGGAUGAGCUCGCGGCCUAUCAGCUUGUUGGUGGGGUAAUGGCCUACCAAGGCGGCGACGGGUAGCCGGCCUGAGAGGGUGGACGGCCACAUUGGGACUGAGAUACGGCCCAGACUCCUACGGGAGGCAGCAGUGGGGAAUAUUGCACAAGGGGCGCAAGCCUGAUGCAGCGACGCCGCGUGGGGGAUGACGGCCUUCGGGUUGUAAACUCCUUUCGCUAGGGACGAAGCUUUUUGUGACGGUACCUAGAUAAGAAGCACCGGCUAACUACGUG
This 465-nucleotide ribosomal RNA is filed under the name uncultured bacterium. Its description in RNAcentral is "partial 16S ribosomal RNA". It matches the Rfam family "Bacterial small subunit ribosomal RNA", at positions 28 to 507 of the family's 1533-position model. The record is from RNAcentral.